GAUGAAGACGCAGCGAAAUGCGAUAAGUAAUGUGAAUUGCAGAAUUCAGUGAAUCAUCGAAUCUUUGAACGCAUCUUGCGCUCCUUGGUAUUCCUUGGAGCAUGCCUGUUUGAGUAUCAUGAGCAAAUCUCAAAGUCAAUUCCUUUUGUUGAUUCAAUUGGUUUUGCUUUGGACUUGGAGGCCUUGCAGAUUUCACAGUCUGCUCCUCUUAAAUGCAUUAGCUGGAUCUCAGUAAUUAUGCUUGGUUCCACUCGGCGUGAUAAGUAUCACUCGCUGAGGACACUGUUAAAAAGGUGGCCAGGAAAAUACUGAUUGAACCGCUUCUAACGGUCUAUUAAGUUAGACAAUUACCCUUAAGUUUGAUCUCAAAUCAGGUAGGACUACCCGCUGAACUUAAGCAUAUCAAUAAGCGGAGGA
This 417-nucleotide unclassified non-coding RNA is filed under the name soil metagenome. RNAcentral's name for it is "partial contains 5.8S ribosomal RNA, internal transcribed spacer 2, and large subunit ribosomal RNA". The stretch from base 1 to 119 matches the Rfam family "5.8S ribosomal RNA", at positions 35 to 154 of the family's 154-position model. The record is from RNAcentral.